ACCAUUAGCUACCAGCUCCAUUCCAGCUGCUCUUCGUGUUCCUCUGCUCAGUACGGCAUGGGCGAGUUGAGCCCCUCCUGGAUGGCCAUGGGGUGCGGCUGGCUGUGCCGCUUCGACAGUGACGUCAUGGCCAGCGUCUUCCUGAACGAGGCGCGCCGCUCCAGGCGCUUGACGGUGAAGCGCGUGUAGGCCACGCGGAUGUACGGCGCGGCGGCCUCCUUGACCUUGAGCACGACGAAGAAGGUGACGCGGUAGGCGAAGAGGAGGACGAAGAUCAUGGCGAGGUCCAGCCACUUGGAGUGGUUCAGGCUCAGCCCCAUCAUCUCGGUGAUGAUGU
RNAcentral lists this long non-coding RNA (337 nucleotides) under Setaria viridis. RNAcentral describes it as "long non-coding RNA (SVIR_LNC002583)". The record is from RNAcentral. Lineage: Eukaryota; Viridiplantae; Streptophyta; Magnoliopsida; Poales; Poaceae.